AAACAACCGCCGGUCUGAACGGAUAUCAUUGAUGUUGAUAAUUAAGAAUUUUAUAUUCGUUGU
This 63-nucleotide transfer RNA is filed under the name Runcina aurata. Its description in RNAcentral is "tRNA-Ile". The record is from RNAcentral. Lineage: Eukaryota; Metazoa; Mollusca; Gastropoda; Runcinacea; Runcinidae.